GUCAGGAUGGCCCGGGGUCUAAGGCGCUGCGUUCAGGUCGCGGUCUCCCCUGGGCGUGGGUUCAAAUCCCAUUUCUGACA
Non-coding RNA from Ameiurus melas (black bullhead), 80 nucleotides. NCBI's taxonomy places the organism in Eukaryota, Metazoa, Chordata, Actinopteri, Siluriformes, Ictaluridae. The record is from the annotation of a GenBank genome assembly.